UUGGUACUCCCUCCGUCCUGGAUUACUUGUCGCUCAAGUGGAUGUGUCUAAAACUAUUUUAGUGCUAGAUACAACCAUUUGAGCGACAAGUAAUUUGGGACGGAGGGAGUACUAA
Molecule: non-coding RNA, 115 nt
Organism: Triticum aestivum (bread wheat)
Lineage: Eukaryota; Viridiplantae; Streptophyta; Magnoliopsida; Poales; Poaceae
Source: Rfam